GCCUUCGUGGUUUAGUGGUCAGCACGCCCCGACUCGUAACCGAGAGGUCCGUGGUUCGAUUCCCGGCGAAGGCG
This 74-nucleotide transfer RNA is filed under the name Stegodyphus mimosarum. It matches the Rfam family "tRNA". From Rfam's summary of the family: Transfer RNA (tRNA) molecules are approximately 80 nucleotides in length. The record is from Rfam by way of RNAcentral. Lineage: Eukaryota; Metazoa; Arthropoda; Arachnida; Araneae; Eresidae.